GUCCCCUUGUUCCUGCAGUUAAAGUCAAGAGGCAUGAAAUUAAAAGUGACCCAACUCCUCUAGGGUUUGAAGGAUGGCCCACCCGGCAGAUGCCUUCUCUAGAUACAUUUGAAGAUUUUGAAGCGAUCCCAUCCAGUGCUGAGGAACUUUCUAAUUCUUCAGAUAUGGAGGAGGAAAGCCAACCUAACAACGGAUCCAGUCUUUACCGGGUAGAAGGCAAUUUUGACACCUGUUUCCCAGAUUCCCUUACUCUAGAGGAUGGAGAUUUAGUGCAGUUUAUACAGGAAGGCGAAGAUGGACAAUGGUUAGUGAAGAAGCUGGUUUCUGAGAAAACGGAUUGGGUCCCUUCCAGCCUGCUACAGCCAGCAGAGGGGGAUACCAACACCAUCUACAGAAUCAGCUAUGCCGACAUGUACCAUGGGACCUACGGGACUGCCUCCACAAACUCUGAAAUCAAGGCGAGUGAACUGGCUAGAAACCUAACAGCUGAACAGAAAGCUGGGAGCUGA
Molecule: long non-coding RNA, 509 nt
Filed under: Pogona vitticeps (central bearded dragon)
Lineage: Eukaryota; Metazoa; Chordata; Lepidosauria; Squamata; Agamidae
Description: lncRNA (ENSPVIG00000016115.1)
Source: RNAcentral